This 232-nucleotide ribosomal RNA is filed under the name uncultured bacterium. RNAcentral describes it as "partial 16S ribosomal RNA". It matches the Rfam family "Bacterial small subunit ribosomal RNA", at positions 15 to 236 of the family's 1533-position model. The record is from RNAcentral.
GAUCAUGGCUCAGGAUGAACGCUAGCUACAGGCUUAACACAUGCAAGUCGAGGGGAAACGACAUCGAAAGCUUGCUUUUGAUGGGCGUCGACCGGCGCACGGGUGAGUAACGCGUAUCCAACCUGCCCACCACUUGGGGAUAACCUUGCGAAAGUAAGACUAAUACCCAAUGACAUCCCACGAAGACAUCUGAAUGGGAUUAAAGAUUUAUCGGCGAUGGAUGGGGAUGCGU